Molecule: long non-coding RNA, 527 nt
Filed under: Hordeum vulgare
Lineage: Eukaryota; Viridiplantae; Streptophyta; Magnoliopsida; Poales; Poaceae
Description: long non-coding RNA (HVUL_LNC010782)
Source: RNAcentral
GGUGAGUUUAGCAGGAAAGGGAGGAAAAGUCUCUUGACUGCAAAUGGGGCUAAAGCAGGCUUAUCUUAAGGUGCAUCCGAUACUUUUCUCAGGUCUGGGAUAACUCGACUCAGAGGAUGAUGCUUCUUCCAUAAUGUUCCCAUUCUGUCACUUUAUCUGUCCAAUAAGAAUAACCAAGCAUGGCUGUAGAAAAAUGUGCAACAUGGAGGGGCUCCCUGUUGGCUCUGGUAAAUAAGUUGGCCCGGCUUCAGUCUGUUUGGGGCUAGGCAUACCCAUGUCACAGUCGAUAUGUCACAUGAAGACUGCAGCUGUUUUGAUCUGAAUCAAUCAAGUUUGCUAUAGUUCAGAUUGUGGCCCUGCUGGGAAACGCUUGCUGUUUUUAUUUUUAUUUUUUUAUUAUCGACACGCGCAUGCAUCUUGCCGGUAAAAUAUAUGCCCUUGUCGUUACUUGUUAGUUUCGGCGCCAUGUUUGAUGCAAAAAAGAAAAAAGGAAAAAUAGAUGGGGCCUGCUACGCAUCCAUCGGUGG